UUCCAGACUCCUACGGGAGGCAGCAGUGGGGAAUAUUGGACAAUGGGGGGAACCCUGAUGCAGCGACGCCGCGUGGGUGAAGAAGCGCCUCGGCGCGUAAAGCCCUGUCAGCAGGGAAGAAAAUGACGGUACCUGAAGAAGAAGCCCCGGCUAACUACGUGCCAGCAGCCGCGGUAAUACGUAGGGGGCAAGCGUUAUCCGGAUUUACUGGGUGUAAAGGGAGCGUAGACGGCAAUGCAAGCCAGAUGUGAAAGCCCGGGGCUCAACCCCGGGACUGCAUUUGGAACUGUGUAGCUGGAGUGUCGGAGAGGCAGGCGGAAUUCCUAGUGUAGCGGUGAAAUGCGUAGAUAUCAGGAGGAACACCGGUGGCGAAGGCGGCCUGCUGGACUGCGACUGACGUUGAGGCCCGAAAGCGUGGGGAGCAAACAGGAUUAGAUACCCCUGUA
Molecule: ribosomal RNA, 446 nt
Filed under: uncultured bacterium
Lineage: Bacteria
Description: partial 16S ribosomal RNA
Rfam family: Bacterial small subunit ribosomal RNA
Source: RNAcentral